AGGAGCUGGAGUUUCCCUGCUUCGCUCAAGCGUGACUCAUUCCGCGUCCCCCCUCCCCCGGCUCCUUCCUUGCCCCCGGAGAUUCCACGGAGGAAGUGGGGGGCGAGGGCAAGCGGGAGCGAUCUAGGCAAGAUUCGGCGAAGAGGGAGGGCGGCCGGCCGGCCCUCAGGAUCCGCGGGGAGGAGACGUGGGGGAAGGAGCUGGCAGAUCUCCGGCUCUCUCCAGCAAGCCUCUGCGUGGCGGGGCGCCUGGCCACGUGUUUUUAGUGGGAUGCGGGCUCUCGCGUACAGAUCCUCAAAGAGUGUGCAACUUUUAAGAAUGUAUACCGAGAUGGGCAACUAAUUAAUUAAAUAAAAUGCAGAUCACGUAUCGAACAUAUGGAUAUCAGUGGAUGAAGGCAGUUUCUUGGAAGCCAGAAAUAUAAUGAGGUUAAUCACAUUUCCCCCACACAUUGUAUUCUCUGUAUUUUGAUGUUUGAUGUGAUAGCUAACUCUGCUCCUUUCUUUUUUUAAUGUUAUGAAUGCAACAGUAAGCUUAUUGCACAGAAGGAUUGGUGAAUAUGUCAAGUUGAAUGUUGUGAGUUGUCUUCCCUGACUUAGGCUUGGGAAAUAACCAAACAGUGACUCUACUGAGUGGGAAAACGAGCAUUCAAUCUUCCAGGCGUACCCACUUAUUUUCUGAGUUAUAAAUAACAUCAUUUGGAAAGAUAUUGGAUCAGUUUCUUAGCAAUCAAAGAUGGCUGUAAACAAAUCAUUGAUUCUCAGAGUGGAAGGACAAAACACUGAAGUAGCUGAAGAAAGCAUGCAUUUGCAGCCGGAAAGGAGCAGUAAUUAAAGCCAGUAUUGCAGGUGAAAAGUUAUGCAGCAGAAUGUGUGAUUCGAAUCCAUCUCCCUAGGACCUGAGCUGGUGGAGCAGCUGGUGUUCUUGAAAGUAAAUCUCAACUCCUGCAAUAUCCCAGGAAAAACCUGGAAACAGAAGGAGUGCCAUCCUUGCUUUGUUAUAUGCUGUUGCUAUGUUUAUCUUUUCUUUUAUGUACACUGAGAGCAUAUGCACCAAGACAAAUUCCUUGUGUGUCCAAUCACACUUGGCCAAUAAAAAAUUCUAUUCUAUUCUAUUCUAUUCUAUAUGUUCUUAUUUGGAUUGCUUUGCAUCUGCUCAGAGCAAGUAAUCCCACUCCAGUCAGCAGGGUCCACAGCACUGACUGACUGAACGAUGCAUGCAAUCGUGUCUUCAUACAAAUUUCACUAUUAUUAUUAGCAUUCUGAGUUCUUGUACAAAGAUGUAAGUCAUAGCAUUUACAUGACAUCAUGAACAGAAUGUUCUCCUGCUCCCUCUUGCAAAGGGUAACAUUUGGAACAGAUGUUUUGUAAUU
Molecule: long non-coding RNA, 1372 nt
Organism: Ahaetulla prasina
Lineage: Eukaryota; Metazoa; Chordata; Lepidosauria; Squamata; Colubridae
Exons: 5
Source: RefSeq, a predicted model, not a curated record